This 253-nucleotide ribosomal RNA is filed under the name uncultured bacterium. Its description in RNAcentral is "partial 16S ribosomal RNA". It matches the Rfam family "Bacterial small subunit ribosomal RNA", at positions 524 to 776 of the family's 1533-position model. The record is from RNAcentral.
UACGUAGGGGGCUAGCGUUGUCCGGAAUCAUUGGGCGUAAAGCGCGUGUAGGCGGUCCGGUAAGUCCGCUGUGAAAGUCGGGGGCUCAACCCUCGGAUGCCGGUCGAUACUGCCGGACUAGAGUUCGGAAGAGGCGAGUGGAAUUCCCGGUGUAGCGGUGAAAUGCGCAGAUAUCGGGAGGAACACCUAUGGCGAAGGCAGCUCGCUGGGACGUUACUGACGCUGAGACGCGAAAGCGUGGGGAGCAAACAGG